RNAcentral lists this ribosomal RNA (148 nucleotides) under uncultured bacterium. RNAcentral's name for it is "partial 16S ribosomal RNA". It matches the Rfam family "Bacterial small subunit ribosomal RNA", at positions 383 to 525 of the family's 1533-position model. The record is from RNAcentral.
CUGAUCAGCAUGCCGCGUGUGUGAAGAAGGCCUGCGGGUUGUAAAGCACUUUCAUCGGGGAGGAAAAGCGGCGGGUUAAUAGCCUGUCGUCUUGACGUUACCCGAAGAAGAAGCGCCGGCNAACUUCGUGCCAGCAGCCGCGGUAAUA